Molecule: non-coding RNA, 438 nt
Organism: Balaenoptera musculus (blue whale)
Lineage: Eukaryota; Metazoa; Chordata; Mammalia; Artiodactyla; Balaenopteridae
Source: the annotation of a RefSeq genome assembly
AUGCUUCUCUCCAGCCUUCUGAAGGUGAUCAUGGCUUCAUUGUGGUUAGGACCCAGUAUUGCCCAGAAGGUAACUCAAAACCAACCAGUAAUAUUAGUGCAGGAGAAGGAGGUUGUGACCCUGGACUGCAUAUAUGACACAAGUGAUUUCAGUUAUAGUCUAUUCUGGUACAAGCAGCCCAGCAGUGGGGCGAUGAUUCUCCUUAUUCGUCAGGACACUUAUAACCAGCAAAAUGCCACAGAAGGUCGCUACUCACUGAAUUUCCAGAAGGCAAACAAGUCCAUCAAACUUGCCAUCUCAGCUUCACAGCUGGAGGACUCUGCAGUGUAUUUCUGUGCACUGAGUGAGCCCACAGUGAGAGGCGUGUUGGAGGGAGUUUACAUUGUUCAACCAGUACCACCAUCCAUCUCUAGAACUCUUUUCAUCUUGAAAAACUGA